UGCCUGUACCCGAAACCGACACAGGUAGGUAGGUAGAGUAUACCAAGGGGCGCGAGACAACUCUCUCUAAGGAACUCGGCAAAAUUACCUCGUAACUUCGGAAGAAGAGGUACCCCUUCACGGGGGUUGCAAUAGAUUGACCCUGGCGACUGUUUACCAAAAACACAGGUCUCCGCUAAUCGUAAGAAAAAGUAUGGGGGCUGACGCCUGCCCAGUGCCGGAAGGUUAAAGAAGUUGGUUAGUCCUUGGACAAAGCUAGCGACUGAAGCCCCGGUUAACGGCGGCCGUAACGAUAACGGUCCUAAGGUAGCGAAAUUCCUUGUCGGGUAAGUUCCGACCCGCACGAAAGGCGUAACGAUCAGGGUACUGUCUCGGAGAGAGGCUCGGCGAAAUAGACAUGUCUGUGAAGAUGCGGACUACCUGCACCUGGACAGAAAGACCCUAUGAAGCUUUACUGUAUCUUGGAAUUGGGUUUGGUCUUUGCAUGCGCAGGAUAGGUGGGAGGCCUUGAAGAUGAUCUUGCGGGGUCGUUGGAGCCACUGGUGAGAUACCACCCUUGCAAUGAUAAAAUCCUAACUUUGAACCGUUAUCCGGUCAAAGAACAGUUUCAGGUGGGCAGUUUGACUGGGGCGGUCGCCUCCUAAAAGGUAACGGAGGCGUGCAAAGGUUCCCUCAGGCUGGUUGGACAUCAGUCGUAGAGUGUAAAGGCAUAAGGGAGCUUGACUGCGAGACCAACAAGUCGAGCAGAGACGAAAGUCGGCCUUACUGAUCCGGCGCUUCCGAGUGGAAGGGGCGUCGCUCAACGGAUAAAAGUUACUCUAGGAUAACAGGCUGAUCUCCCCCAAGAGGUCACAUCGACGGGGAGGUUUGGCACCUCGAUGUCGGCUCAUCGCAUCCUGGGGCGGUAGUACGUCCCAAGGGUUGGGCUGUUCGCCCAUGAAAGCGGUACGCGAGCUGGGUUCAGAACGUCGUGAGACAGUUCGGUCCAUAUCCGGUGCAGGCGUUAGAGUAUUGCGAAGACUCCUCCUUAGUACGAGAGGACCGGGGGGAAUGCACCGCUGGUGUACCAGUUAUCGUGCCAACGGUAAACGCUGGGUAGCCAAGUGCAGUUUGGAUAACUGCUGAAAGCAUCUAAGUAGGAAGCCAGCUUCAAGAUGAGUACUCUCACCGCUUCAAGCGGGUAAGAUCACGGCAAGAACAGCCGUU
RNAcentral lists this ribosomal RNA (1206 nucleotides) under metagenome. RNAcentral describes it as "bacterial LSU rRNA". It matches the Rfam family "Bacterial large subunit ribosomal RNA", at positions 1639 to 2853 of the family's 2925-position model. The record is from RNAcentral.